UGGGGAGGCCAGCAAGGGGCGAGCUGUCCCAGAAGGGAGGCGAGACUUGCUGGGGACUGCCCUGGGGUAAGAAGAUAAGCCCUGAAGCCAGCCACUGCACAGAGGAGGGUCCUGGGAGAGCCCCCUGGCCCUUCUCUGGCAUCCUAGCCCUUUGAGGAAUUUGCCUAUUUGCCCCCCACCAAACAUGCAAGAUGGAGAAGCCCAGGGGGACCAACUGGCCCAGCUUCCAGCCUUCUCCUCGGAAUCACCGGCACGAAGCCACACUGAGGAUUCUCCCAUUUCCAAAGUCUCCUCUCUCCAAAGAAGCAGACCCCACAACUCCCCCAAGCGCCGAGGUCUGGCAACGUGACGGAGCAACCGCUCCAAGCUCCCAGUCCAGCUUAGCUAGAGGCCGAAGUCAAGACUGAGGCCCAGUCUCCUGGAGGAAACAUCUCUGCUCAAUCGGAAAGAUGUGUCUGGAAAGAUCCACCCGGCUGUCUCACAUUCUACAUAUUUAAUAAAGAGGUCCACAUUUAACCACCAGCCUCUCCUCGCAGCUCCCACGCCUGCCCUUCCCUCUCUGUCUGCCCAGUUCCCCAG
Long non-coding RNA from Choloepus didactylus (southern two-toed sloth), 579 nucleotides. RefSeq lists it as uncharacterized. The record is from RefSeq and is a predicted model, not a curated record. The transcript has 3 exons. Lineage: Eukaryota; Metazoa; Chordata; Mammalia; Pilosa; Megalonychidae.